Molecule: long non-coding RNA, 2255 nt
Organism: Felis catus (domestic cat)
Lineage: Eukaryota; Metazoa; Chordata; Mammalia; Carnivora; Felidae
Exons: 2
Source: RefSeq, a predicted model, not a curated record
AACUCAGGCUUCCAUGGCACUUAGAGUACCUGUUUCCAGGGAAUACAAGAAAGCAACCAUUUCCUCAAAGAACUCAGGCCACCCCACACCUGGGAUGGUAGAAAUGGGCACCUUGAUUGACAGAGCCUGUGAGCUACAGCAUCCCAACGGUGGGCGUGAGCUCAGUGAAUUUGUUCCAGCAAGUUCCUUAGUCUUUAUGAAACAGCCGUCAGCUCUUUUUAGAGUAGGUGACUGAUACCUGCAUAUAUAUCUGACUAGUUUUCAAGUAAGCAUAAAUGUUCUUAUAAAGAAUAGAAUGCAAUGUCAUUUAAAACAUUGGGCUUAUACUAAUGCUAUAUCUUUAUGAAUCUUCUCAGUCAACGGCCACCAAAUAUAUAGCUACCUCCCAUAGCGCUCCGUAAUAUAUUUUUCUUUAAAAAAUACUCAAGCUACCUUCAGCAAAAGUUUUUAACCUAUUUUGUGUCAUAGAUCCUUUGGUGGUCUGGCAAGAACUAUAGACUUCUUCUGAGAGUAAUGUCUUUAAACACAUAAAAUAAAACAUAGGAGUAAAAAAAAGAUUCUUAUGAAGUACCUAUGAAGCAUGGAAAUACACAGUUUUUAAACUAUAUGUAUUUGGCCUUUUUACUGAAUGAGUUUUUUUCCAAUGAAAGUUUUCCAAACGUGGGGGCAAAUUUGGAAUUAUUUCCUGUAACACAGUUGUCAAUAUUGGGACCAAGAAAAUGAGGCUCAAAGAAAAAUUUCUUGACUGUCUUUAUGCCUGCCUCCUCCUUUUUGUCUGGUUAAUUCUUACUUAAUCCUUCGAAUCACAGUGCACACGUGGCUUCUUUGGGAAGUCUUCUUCUGACCUGACUAGGUCUAUGUUCCUUUUGUGGUACCUUUUAUAUUACUAUGACUCCCUGCCUCCGCCUACCCACCUACCAUACAUGCAUGAACAUAUGUCUCAGUUAUCAAAUAGCGUGACUUUUUGGACAGUCUGUUUUGUCUCUGAGACUCUCAGUUUUGCCCAGGAGUACAGGACUGAACCUGGUUCCAUCGCUGGUCCCUCGCAUGGUACUGGGGACCUAACCUGAGCUCACUGAAAUUUGCUACAUGGAUCCCUAAGUGUGUAGACACCCAAGAGUCAUCACAGGGUCAAAUCUGAUUUUCUCCUCACAACAUACAAAGUUAGAAGACAAAGUGCCCAAAUUCUGGCGCUCUUCACGAAAUAGGUGCUAAAAGGUUGUAGUGGGUCACAACAUCUUUGCAGUUCACAGGCGAUUUUUGUUUUAAAAAUUCAUUCAGAAGAAAGAACUGGAAACAGAAGUGACGAGAAAGGAUGGUCGGAAUAGGGUUGCUUGAUGGAGAAAUUCAACAGCAUUGUCUAAUUUAGAAGAACAAAGCCUACAGUCAGAAUGUAAGUCAAAUUAAUGUAAUACCCAUCCAAAAAAUAACCAUUUCUGGAAUUGUCAGUGGAGACCAAAACUGAAUAGAUCAGUAGGUUAUGGGUGGACAUACCUAUUGACAAACGCAGUCCCGCUGGUAGCGGGUCUCUCCAUCUGCAUUUCCUGCAGACCUUCUUUUCCUGCUGGAGCAGUGGCUCUUUCUGAUGGGGAAUCCACUCCAUGGAAUCAAUACUGACCCUGCCUGCCUACCCGUUACAUCAGAGGGCUCUGUCUCAUCGCUCACAGUCAUUGGUUCUGAAAUGGACAUGUGACCUAAACUGAGCCAAUCAGAGUCUUCCUGGAGACUGCUCUGCUAAGGAGGAAGUCCCUCUCAGCCUGAUGGGUGGGCAAAGCUCUAGCUAAUUUGUGGUUUUGGAGGGGCUGAUGUGCCUCAUGCCUACUAUGUGGGUGGGCACACCUGGAGAAGUGGAGAGAAACGCAUGCGUGAUUGCAUUCUCUAGGCCUUUGGCCCGGAAUCAGUAACAUCCUGGGACGUUUUGGUUAUUUGCGCCCAUCAGUUCCUUUUUUUUUUUUUUUUUUCCUUUCGUUUUGCUCGAGUUGGCUUCCUGUCACUUGCAACUGCUGAAACAUCUGUAGUUUAUUUCACGUUAAUGUGGCUUUAAAACAUUUCUUGGACUGGAUAAGUAGUGUUUUAAAAUUGCUUAGACCAAUGGCACAGUUUUGUAGGCCUAUCCAUGACAGAUCUAAAAUGGGCUAUUACAUAGUUUCUCCCCCAUUUUAGAUUUUCAUCCGAUUCUGAUACAGUUGUUGAGUGGCCCAUAAAACAGGAUAACCAGACAAUGCCUUCAAAAGGCAUCCUGAAACCAAUGUUUU